RNAcentral lists this ribosomal RNA (208 nucleotides) under uncultured Psychrobacter sp. RNAcentral describes it as "partial 16S ribosomal RNA". It matches the Rfam family "Bacterial small subunit ribosomal RNA", at positions 568 to 775 of the family's 1533-position model. The record is from RNAcentral. Lineage: Bacteria; Pseudomonadati; Pseudomonadota; Gammaproteobacteria; Moraxellales; Moraxellaceae.
AGCGUAGGUGGCUUGAUAAGUCAGAUGUGAAAGCCCCGGGCUUAACCUGGGAACGGCAUCUGAUACUGUUAGGCUAGAGUAGGUGAGAGGAAGGUAGAAUUCCAGGUGUAGCGGUGAAAUGCGUAGAGAUCUGGAGGAAUACCGAUGGCGAAGGCAGCCUUCUGGCAUCAUACUGACACUGAGGUUCGAAAGCGUGGGUAGCAAACAG